GGAAACAGGUUAAUAUUCCUGUACUUGGUGUUACUGCGAAGGGGGGACGGAGAAGGCUAUGUCAGCCGGGCGACGGUUGUCCCGGUUUAAGCAUGUAGGCGGAGGUUCCAGGUAAAUCCGGUACCUUAUUAACGCUGAGGUGUGAUGACGAGGCACUACGGUGCUGAAGUGAUAAAUGCCCUGCUUCCAGGAAAAGCCUCUAAGCAUCAGGUAACACGAAAUCGUACCCCAAACCGACACAGGUGGUCAGGUAGA
This 255-nucleotide ribosomal RNA is filed under the name Enterobacter hormaechei. Its description in RNAcentral is "partial 23S ribosomal RNA". It matches the Rfam family "Bacterial large subunit ribosomal RNA", at positions 1421 to 1675 of the family's 2925-position model. Lineage: Bacteria; Pseudomonadati; Pseudomonadota; Gammaproteobacteria; Enterobacterales; Enterobacteriaceae. RNAcentral also lists the same sequence under 4 other names. The record is from RNAcentral.